This is a long non-coding RNA of Quercus robur (English oak), 4121 nucleotides long. RefSeq lists it as uncharacterized. NCBI's taxonomy places the organism in Eukaryota, Viridiplantae, Streptophyta, Magnoliopsida, Fagales, Fagaceae. The transcript is spliced from 8 exons. The record is from RefSeq and is a predicted model, not a curated record.
UUAAAUUAACCGACUCUCGCAUUAGAUGCUAUAUAUAGAGAGCGACGAUCAAGAAAGAAACACACCGAAAACCUACCUCUCUCUCUCUCCGAUGGCUCCCAAAUCCAAAUCGAAAAGUGCGCUUUCCAAGAGUCUAGUCAAGGAUUUCAAGAGAUCCUCUCUGAGGCUAUUAUGGAGUCCCCACACCAACGCUCUGCUCCAGAAGAUGGCUGCUGAAGCCAGUGGAUCGAGGAAUUUCAACGUCCUCCUGUUUUCUAGCGAGGCGGAGGCGGAGGCGCUGAGCUAUCUCAUUGAGCACUACAACUAGUGAGGGUGAGCGGUGGGUUAGCCAAAGAGGAACAGAGGGCUCUCAAGGACAAGGCAAAAGAGCUCGAUCUUCCUUUGAGGGAGUGAGGGAAGCUUGGUCUUCCUUUGGAGGAGUGAGGGCAGUAGGGUUUAGGUUUGGUCUUACCUUGGAUAUGGAGGGGUGAGUAUAACCUUUUUAGGUUAUGGAGGUUUCUAGGUUUCUUUUAUGUUUUCUUUCUGUUUUUCUUCUUGUAUAGGAUAGGAUGUGGGGUGAGUAUAACCUUUUUUAGGUUUAGGUUAUGGAGGGUGAGUAUAACCUUUUUAAGGUUUAGGUUAUGGAGGGUGAGUAUAACCUUUAGGUUAUGGAGGUUUCUAGGUUUAGCUCUAAUAGCCAGAACUGGGUUUCUUUUAUGUUUUCUUUCUGUUUUGUAUUCUCUAUGCAAGAAAAACAGCCGUUCGUUUGUAUAUCAUUCUUGCUUAUCAAAAAAAUAAAAUAAAAUAAAAUAAAAACAUGCCCUCAUUCUUCACAAAUUUUGUGUUUAAUUUAUGUUCUUGAUUAUGUGUUUACUUUAUGUUCCUGAAUCUGAUGUGUUUAUUUUACUUUAUGUCACUUGAAGUUUUUUUCUUAAAUCAAUGAACUGUGACGGUGCCGUUACCGGCUAUGGGGUUGUUAGGAAUAUUGUUUCUGAGGAGUUGAGAGAGUUCUGGGAGCAACCAGAUGGGCAGGGAACAAACCAUGCUUGGGUUAAUCUGAUAUGGGAGAUGAAAGGUAAAAGAAAAAUAUGUGACUAAAUUUGAUGUGUUAAGUACUUUAGUCCUUUGAAUGUAUAUAUAUCCAGCACUCAUUUAUUGUGACAUAUGAAUAGUAGCAUGAGUAGAGUAUUGGUCACCUCUCAAUGUGUAGUGGAAUUCAUGGUUCAUAAAUUUUUUCUAAUGAAAUUGUUAGAAUUGUCCUGUAUUGAAGGAAAUUAUAUAUGGAAAUCAAUUAGUCAAAGAGUUUUUGGAUAUAUUUGAUGUAAACCAUUACAAGAGCACUUUACAAGCUGAUGUACGUGUUGUAUCAUCUCUUCCUUCCGUGCAUUUGAUGUCAAGGCAGACCAUUGAAAACAAGAUUCCUUAUGAAGUGUUAGUAGGUAGAAUGCUAAUUCAGAAUCGAAGAUGCACUCAUUAUGAUAUUUUCUUUUUCUUAAAAAACAAUUUAUUAGAUACGGGUGCGUGCUAUGCCGGUUGUUCUAGUGGCUCUAGAAGUCAUUCAUAAUCGACCCUUGAAAUACAUUUGAGUCUCACAGAGAGACAAAUUAUUUUCUCCUCAUACUUUUCAAAUUUGAUGGUGCUCUAGUGUUGAAAGGUUCAGAUUCUAAACUCUCAACGAAUCUUCCAUCUGAUCUGCAGAAGCUUCGAUGUAAGGUAUCCUUUCAUGCAUUAAGAUAUGCAGCACCAAUUAGGGAGCUUGAAAAUCAGCCUGCAAGGAGAAUGUGGAUGGAAGGCCCUUUCAUUGCCCUCCAUCUCCGGCUAGAGAAGGAUGUGUGGGUCAGAACUGGAUGUUUCACUGGUUUAGACACAGAAUAUGAUGUCAUCAUCACCAAGGUUCUGGAGUCUCAAACUGAAUACCUGACAGGAAGGUUAAACAUGACCUACAUUCAACGACGACUUGCUGGACCAUGCCCCCUAAAUGCACUAGAAAUGGAAGGCUCGUAAAGGUUCUAGGAGCAUCCGGAAGAGCACGGGUAUACACUGCAGGGGGAGAGCCAUUUGGGAGAAAAAAGGCUCUGCAGCCGCUUGUGGCAGAAUUUGCAAAUGUUGCGACAAAUGAGAAGUUGGCACAAAUGGGAGAACUUUCACAGUACAUUAACAAGUCUUCAGCUCUGGCUGCCAUUGAAUACAUUGUCUCCCUGAACAGCAAUGUCUUUGUACCUUCCCAUGGUGGAAAUAUGGGACGAGCAGUGCAAAAUUCAGGAGCAUCAUGAGGAAACUGCUCAGCAAAUCUCAGGGGCAGCCUGGGAUGAGAGCUAACAGGAGAGAUAGAGAUGUGAUUGCAUACCCAAUACCUGAGUGCCUGUGCAAACACAAAACAGGCAUAUUUUGAAGCAUCUCAAUGAGUAAAUUUGUUCCCUUUUGUUUUGGAGUCUUAUGGUGCUUUGGCCUUAUGGAUUUCUCAUUUUGUGGAGAAGAUAUUGUCCUAGAGGGAUAUCAGAACUACAUUUAUUACAUAAAACAGUGCAAGAUAGCUCUGCAGCUGGGUUUUCCUUAGAGCUUCUAGCAAAUGCAAGAUUUGUUUUUGCAGCUGCAAAGUUAGGCACGGCAGGUGUAAAGGAAUGACAAAGGAAACAAGUUUGCUGCUCCAUUGGGGCUGAUUGCACAAAUUCCUUUUUAGACCACACUGCUAGCAAACGCUGCAUGGUGUCUAAAAGACCACUGAUAUUAUGACCAUUUGUGAGUGAAGUAGCUUCAGGUGGGCAUUCAAGAACAGCAAAUUGAAGGAUCCAUCGCAGGCAACAGAUAGGAAAUAUUUUCCAGUGUAAAAAUUUGUCUACAAACAUGAACCUGAGAAAGAAGAGCUAUGAGUUUAAAACCUGUGAGUAAUAGGAACACAACAGUAAUGUGUUCUCAGAAGAUGGUAAAAAAUAAAAUAAACUAAGUAAAAUGAAUUUGAGCAAUAUUUGAUUUAACUUCAUUUUGCCAGAGAGCCUUAAUCCUCUGUGUAUGAUGAGCUAAUCCAGGAUAGAACAGAUUGGAGAGUUUUGCAUCUCCCAAUUGACAGGUAUUGCAGACAUGGUUUGAGACUUUGAGUUUACUAGCAUUCGCCUAUGAGUUUAAAACCUGUGAGUAAUAGGAACACAACAGUAAUGUGUUCUCAGAAGAUGGUAAAAAAUAAAAUAAACUAAGUAAAAUGAAUUUGAGCAAUAUUUGAUUUAACUUCAUUUUGCCAGAGAGCCUUAAUCCUCUGUGUAUGAUGAGCUAAUCCAGGAUAGAACAGAUUGGAGAGUUUUGCAUCUCCCAAUUGACAGGUAUUGCAGACAUGGUUUGAGACUUUGAGUUUACUAGCAUUCGCCUAUGACUGACACCAUUUGAACACUUAAAUGUGCCCACCUAAAUUGAAUCCAAAAUGUGCACCUGCCAUUCAGGGUUUUGAUAAGAAAAGACAUGGUGUUGACUUGCUUGGUGGAGAUUUUGUUGUCCUGGGGAAACUCAUCCAUAUGCUUGGUAUUUGUAUGAAAUGCACAGCCAUGCACCCAGAAGCAUCUUCAUUGGCUCUCUGUCAUCUCAAUUUGUUAAGAUCCAGGGAGGUAUGCCAUCACAAGGAAGCAUAUGUCAGAAGAGCUGUUCUUUUUGCUGCCUCGUGCAUAUUGGGGGCACUUCAUCCUUCUAAUGUAGCAUCUUCCUUGGUUGAAGGAAAUCUUGAACUUUCUAUUUUGCUUGAAUGGGUGCAUACAUGGGCCCUUCAAUUAGUUGAGUCAGACACAGAUCGAGAGUGCUACACAGUAAGCAAUAAAAGAUGGCUAUGACAUGCCUCCAACUCCAUUAUGAAAUGGCCCUCCAAGCUACCCAAGCACUAGAAUCAGCAGAAAGCACAUUCAAGGCAAAGGCUGUUGUUCUCCCUUCCUACAAAGGGACAAUAAAAUCCCCCAUUCAAUUGUGGAAUUUUAAUUUUAUCUUUUCUUGCAUCGUAGUAUUGUACGGUCUUUUGUUCAAUCACUAGGCGAUAAUUCUAGGCCCGUGAUAUGUAGGAUUAUUGAAAUAUAUAUUUUUCUUAAAUUUGUAUGAUUUUUUUAUACAUAUAGACAGUAAAGUUCUGUGAAUUAUCUAUCACAAAAUUAAACUAUCUUAAUUAAUUU